RNAcentral lists this unclassified non-coding RNA (253 nucleotides) under uncultured Sphingomonadaceae bacterium. RNAcentral describes it as "contains 16S-23S intergenic spacer region". It matches the Rfam family "Bacterial small subunit ribosomal RNA", at positions 524 to 776 of the family's 1533-position model. Lineage: Bacteria; Pseudomonadati; Pseudomonadota; Alphaproteobacteria; Sphingomonadales; Sphingomonadaceae. The record is from RNAcentral.
UACGGAGGGAGCUAGCGUUGUUCGGAAAUACUGGGCGUAAAGCGAACGUAGGUGGCCAAGUAAGUCAGGGGUGAAAUCCCGGGGCUCAACCCCGGAACUGCCUUUGAAACUGCAUGGCUAGAAUCCUGGAGAGGCGAGUGGAAUUCCGAGUGUAGAGGUGAAAUUCGUAGAUAUUCGGAGGAACACCAGUGGCGAAGGCGGCUCACUGGACAAUUAUUGACGCUGAGGUGCGAAAGCGUGGGGAGCAAACAGG